CAGGACGAACGCUGGCGGCGUGCUUAACACAUGCAAGUCGAACGAUGAAGCCCUUCGGGGUGGAUUAGUGGCGAACGGGUGAGUAACACGUGGGCAAUCUGCCCUUCACUCUGGGACAAGCCCUGGAAACGGGGUCUAAUACCGGAUAACACUUACCUCCUCCUGGGGGUGGGUUAAAAGCUCCGGCGGUGAAGGAUGAGCCCGCGGCCUAUCAGCUUGUUGGUGGGGUAAUGGCCUACCAAGGCGACGACGGGUAGCCGGCCUGAGAGGGCGACCGGCCACACUGGGACUGAGACACGGCCCAGACUCCUACGGGAGGCAGCAGUGGGGAAUAUUGCACAAUGGGCGAAAGCCUGAUGCAGCGACGCCGCGUGAGGGAUGACGGCCUUCGGGUUGUAAACCUCUUUCAGCAGGGAAGAAGCGCAAGUGACGGUACCUGCAGAAGAAGCACCGGCUAACUACGUGCCAGCAGCCGCGGUAAUACGUAGGGUGCGAGCGUUGUCCGGAAUUAUUGGGCGUAAAGAGCUCGUAGGCGGUCUGUCACGUCGGAUGUGAAAGCCCGGGGCUUAACCCCGGGUCUGCAUUCGAUACGGGCAGACUAGAGUGUGGUAGGGGAGAUCGGAAUUCCUGGUGUAGCGGUGAAAUGCGCAGAUAUCAGGAGGAACACCGGUGGCGAAGGCGGAUCUCUGGGCCAUUACUGACGCUGAGGAGCGAAAGCGUGGGGAGCGAACAGGAUUAGAUACCCUGGUAGUCCACGCCGUAAACGUUGGGAACUAGGUGUUGGCGACAUUCCACGUCGUCGGUGCCGCAGCUAACGCAUUAAGU
RNAcentral lists this ribosomal RNA (825 nucleotides) under Streptomyces sp. AKB-2008-TE37. RNAcentral's name for it is "bacterial SSU rRNA". It matches the Rfam family "Bacterial small subunit ribosomal RNA", at positions 25 to 865 of the family's 1533-position model. Lineage: Bacteria; Bacillati; Actinomycetota; Actinomycetes; Kitasatosporales; Streptomycetaceae. The record is from RNAcentral.